Molecule: ribosomal RNA, 320 nt
Filed under: uncultured eukaryote
Lineage: Eukaryota
Description: partial 18S ribosomal RNA
Rfam family: Eukaryotic small subunit ribosomal RNA
Source: RNAcentral
CCCCUAGAUGUUCUGGGCCGCACGCGCGCUACACUGAACAGUUCAACAAGUCUUAACCUUGGCCGAUAGGUCUGGGUAAUCUUUGAACGCUGUUCGUGAUUGGGAUAGACCUUUGCAAUUAUGGGUCUUCAACGAGGAAUUCCUAGUAAACGCAAGUCAUCAGCUUGCAUUGAUUACGUCCCUGCCCUUUGUACACACCGCCCGUCGCACCUACCGAUUGAAUGGUCCGGUGAAAUCUCGGGACGGCGGCUUGGUCGCUUGCGUCCGACUGGUGAAACUUGAUUAAACCAUAUCAUUUAGAGGAAGGUGAAGUCGUAACA